This 72-nucleotide transfer RNA is filed under the name bacterium. RNAcentral describes it as "tRNA-Gly". It matches the Rfam family "tRNA". Rfam says of the family: Transfer RNA (tRNA) molecules are approximately 80 nucleotides in length. Their secondary structure includes four short double-helical elements and three loops (D, anti-codon, and T loops). The record is from RNAcentral.
GCGGGGGUAGUUCAUCGGUAGAACGUCUCCUUGCCAAGGAGAAGGCAGCGGGUCCAAUUCCCGUCCCCCGCU